GGGGGAUAUUGCGCAAUGGGGGCAACCCUGACGCAGCAACGCCGCGUGAAGGAUGAAGGUUUUCGGAUUGUAAACUUCUUUUAUUAAGGACGAAACUUGACGGUACUUAAUGAAUAAGCUCCGGCUAACUACGUGCCAGCAGCCGCGGUAAUACGUAGGGAGCAAGCGUUGUCCGGAUUUACUGGGUGUAAAGGGUGCGUAGGCGGCUUUGCAAGUCAGAUGUGAAAUCUAUGGGCUCAACCCAUAAACUGCAUUUGAAACUGUAGAGCUUGAGUGAAGUAGAGGCAGGCGGAAUUCCCCGUGUAGCGGUGAAAUGCGUAGAGAUGGGGAGGAACACCAGUGGCGAAGGCGGCCUGCUGGGCUUUAACUGACGCUGAGGCACGAAAGCGUGGGUAGCAAACAGGAUUAGAUACCCUGGUAGUCCACGCUGUAAACGAUGAUUACUAGGUGUGGGGGGUCUGACCCCUUCCGUGCCGGAGUUAACACAAUAAGUAAUCCACCUGGGGAGUACGGCCGCAAGGUUGAAACUCAAAGGAAUUGACGGGGGCCCGCACAAGCAGUGGAGUAUGUGGUUUAAUUCGAAGCAACGCGAAGAACCUUACCAGGUCUUGACAUCCAACUAACGAAGUAGAGAUACAUUAGGUGCCCUUCGGGGAAAGUUGAGACAGGUGGUGCAUGGUUGUCGUCAGCUCGUGUCGUGAGAUGUUGGGUUAAGUCCCGCAACGAGCGCAACCCUUGCUAUUAGUUGCUACGCAAGAGCACUCUAAUAGGACUGCCGUUGACAAAACGGAGGAAGGUGGGGACGACGUCAAAUCAUCAUGCCCCUUAUGACCUGGGCUACACACGUACUACAAUGGAUGUUAACAGAGGGAAGCAAGACAGUGAUGUGGAGCAAACCCCUAAAAACAUUCUCAGUUCAGAUUGCAGGCUGCAACCCGCCUGCAUGAAGAUGGAAUUGCUAGUAAUCGCGGAUCAGCAUGCCGCGGUGAAUACGUUCCCG
RNAcentral lists this ribosomal RNA (1000 nucleotides) under uncultured organism. Its description in RNAcentral is "bacterial SSU rRNA". It matches the Rfam family "Bacterial small subunit ribosomal RNA", at positions 356 to 1376 of the family's 1533-position model. The record is from RNAcentral.